UACGUAGGGUGCAAGCGUUGUCCGGAAUUAUUGGGCGUAAAGAGCUCGUAGGCGGUCUGUCGCGUCUGCUGUGAAAACUCAGGGCUUAACCCUGAGCUUGCAGUGGGUACGGGCAGACUAGAGUGCGGUAGGGGAGACUGGAAUUCCUGGUGUAGCGGUGAAAUGCGCAGAUAUCAGGAGGAACACCGAUGGCGAAGGCAGGUCUCUGGGCCGCAACUGACGCU
This 224-nucleotide ribosomal RNA is filed under the name uncultured bacterium. Its description in RNAcentral is "partial 16S ribosomal RNA". It matches the Rfam family "Bacterial small subunit ribosomal RNA", at positions 524 to 747 of the family's 1533-position model. The record is from RNAcentral.